ACGCACGCUGGCGGCGUGCUUAACACAUGCAAGUCGAACGCUGAAGCUUGGUGCUUGCACUGGGUGGAUGAGUGGCGAACGGGUGAGUAAUACGUGAGUAACCUGCCCUUGACUCUGGGAUAAGCCUGGGAAACUGGGUCUAAUACUGGAUACGACAUGUCACCGCAUGGUGGUGUGUGGAAAGGGUUUUACUGGUUUUGGAUGGGCUCACGGCCUAUCAGCUUGUUGGUGGGGUAAUGGCUCACCAAGGCGACGACGGGUAGCCGGCCUGAGAGGGUGACCGGCCACACUGGGACUGAGACACGGCCCAGACUCCUACGGGAGGCAGCAGUGGGGAAUAUUGCACAAUGGGCGGAAGCCUGAUGCAGCGACGCCGCGUGAGGGAUGGCGGCCUUCGGGUUGUAAACCUCUUUCAGCACGGAAGAAGCGAAAGUGACGGUACGUGCAGAAGAAGCGCCGGCUAACUACGUG
RNAcentral lists this ribosomal RNA (471 nucleotides) under uncultured bacterium. Its description in RNAcentral is "partial 16S ribosomal RNA". It matches the Rfam family "Bacterial small subunit ribosomal RNA", at positions 29 to 507 of the family's 1533-position model. The record is from RNAcentral.